RNAcentral lists this ribosomal RNA (31 nucleotides) under Alternaria alternata. RNAcentral's name for it is "partial 18S ribosomal RNA". Lineage: Eukaryota; Fungi; Ascomycota; Dothideomycetes; Pleosporales; Pleosporaceae. The record is from RNAcentral. RNAcentral also lists the same sequence under 5 other names.
UCCGUAGGUGAACCUUGCGGAGGGAUCAUUA